This 643-nucleotide ribosomal RNA is filed under the name uncultured Actinomycetes bacterium. RNAcentral's name for it is "bacterial SSU rRNA". It matches the Rfam family "Bacterial small subunit ribosomal RNA", at positions 232 to 885 of the family's 1533-position model. The record is from RNAcentral. Lineage: Bacteria; Bacillati; Actinomycetota; Actinomycetes.
CGCGGCCUAUCAGCUUGUUGGUGGGGUAGUGGCCUACCAAGGCGACGACGGGUAGCCGGCCUGAGAGGGCGACCGGCCACACUGGGACUGAGACACGGCCCAGACUCCUACGGGAGGCAGCAGUGGGGAAUAUUGCACAAUGGGCGAAAGCCUGAUGCAGCGACGCCGCGUGAGGGAUGACGGCCUUCGGGUUGUAAACCUCUUUCAGCAGGGAAGAAGCGAAAGUGACGGUACCUGCAGAAGAAGCACCGGCUAACUACGUGCCAGCAGCCGCGGUAAUACGUAGGGUGCAAGCGUUGUCCGGAAUUAUUGGGCGUAAAGAGCUCGUAGGCGGCUUGUCACGUCGGUUGUGAAAGCCCGGGGCUUAACCCCGGGUCUGCAGUCGAUACGGGCAGGCUAGAGUUCGGUAGGGGAGAUCGGAAUUCCUGGUGUAGCGGUGAAAUGCGCAGAUAUCAGGAGGAACACCGGUGGCGAAGGCGGAUCUCUGGGCCGAUACUGACGCUGAGGAGCGAAAGCGUGGGGAGCGAACAGGAUUAGAUACCCUGGUAGUCCACGCCGUAAACGGUGGGAACUAGGUGUGGGCGACAUUCCACGUUGUCCGUGCCGCAGCUAACGCAUUAAGUUCCCCGCCUGGGGAGUACGG